Molecule: microRNA precursor, 158 nt
Filed under: Pelobates cultripes (western spadefoot toad)
Lineage: Eukaryota; Metazoa; Chordata; Amphibia; Anura; Pelobatidae
Source: RNAcentral
GCUGACACAUCCCGGCCAAUCUCCAGCAGACCCUCCCUCCCAGACCCUCCACCUCCUGGACAGCAUCCAUGUUGAAGCUUCCUUCAACAUAGAUGCUGUCCAGGAGGUUGGAGGGUCUGGGAGGGAGGUUCUGCUGGAGAUUGGCCAGGAUGUGUCAG